UGUUAAUUAAUUAAUUUAAGAUUAAUAAUCGUGCUACUCAUGGAGGAAAGGGAAGAAGGAAAGGAGAUACGAAAACUGGCGAGAUUCGCCUUAUGACCGUGCUGAAAUAUUCGUGGUUACAUGACCAUCUAUCGUUAAGACGUCGUCAACUGUCACAACUGACAUGGGGUCGUUCUCGGAAAGGUCGCUGCAGGAUCAUUAAGGAAUGUUCGGUUAGUUGCGAGUUUGAACAAAUAGUACAGAUGUGGCGAUGCAAGAAACAUUAAACGAGACCGAAUGUGCGGCCCUCCUGAAAGAUGUCAAGUGGGGGGACCCAGGUCUGCUCACUUCGUUGUCCAUUUUGGCACUAAUCAACGUGAUGGUGAUUGUCGGUAAUUGCCUGAUCAUCGCUGCCGUCUUCUGCUCUUCCAAAUUACGUUCAGUUACUAAUCUCUUUAUUGUCUCGCUUGCUGUCGCCGAUUUAUUGGUCGGCAUCGCCGUAUUGCCCUUUUCUGCUACAAGGGAGAUAUUCGACAUAUGGAUAUUCGGAGAUACAUGGUGCAGCAUGUGGUUGGCAUUGGAUGUAUGGAUGUGCACCGCUUCUAUAUUAAACCUUUGUGCUAUUUCUUUGGAUCGGUACGUGGCUGUGACACGACCGAUUACCUAUCCGAACAUCAUGUCUACGUCCAGAGCCAAACUGUUGAUCGCAGGACUUUGGAUACUCAGCUUUGUCAUUUGUUUUCCUCCACUGGUUGGAUGGAAAGAUAAAAAGGCUGAGAACGCUAGCAACGUGACGGAAUUGGAAAAGGACACUCCGUGCCCAUGGAAGUGUGAACUGACUAAUGAAGCUGGAUACGUUGUUUACUCUGCUUUAGGAUCCUUCUACAUUCCCAUGUUCGUGAUGUUGUUUUUCUACUGGCGUAUUUAUAGGGCUGCGGUGAGAACCACACGUGCCAUCAAUCAAGGAUUCAGGACUACCAAAGGUUCUAGGAAAUUCGGAAACCGUUUCGACGAACAAAGGCUGACCCUCCGCAUUCAUAGGGGUCGGGGCCACUCAACGCGAUAUGGCUCAUCUCAGAGUUCCACGAGCAACAGCACAUUAACCGCGGAUAGCGCGUCUCCAAGCCCUUCCUCUCGUGGACGACACGAACGAGUCAAAAUAAGCGUGAGCUACCCAUCAAGUGACAAUCUUUCUUCCCAUUCAACGCCCCAUCUGCUAUCUGUGAGCCCGACGUCUCCUGUUCAUUCCAUCAAUUACACAGUACAUUACUCUAACGAAAGGGGCACUUCGGUUACCAUGCUUGACCCAUCCGAGACGCAUUUGAGGGUGAAAACUAUGGCUGAUAACCAUCGCAGGCAUUCGACGAAAUCGGCUAAUUUCGACAUAGAACGAGAUAGGAGUCCCAGUCCGAGUAUUUGUGACGACGGCACUCCCCUCAGGUCAAAAGUAAUGUCACGAAAGAUGGGAAAAAGGAACAUUAAAGCGCAAGUGAAACGGUUUCGUAUGGAAACUAAAGCGGCUAAAACUUUAGGGAUUAUUGUUGGUGGUUUUAUAUUUUGUUGGCUGCCGUUCUUUACAAUGUACCUGGUGCGCGCCUUUUGCCAUCACUGUAUCCAUCCGUUAGUGUUUAGUGUCUUGUUCUGGUUGGGCUACUGCAACAGUGCUAUAAAUCCGUUGAUUUACGCCCUAUUUUCUAAAGACUUUCGAUUCGCGUUCAAAAGGAUCAUUUGUAGAUGCUUUUGUAAAGGUGGCGGUGAAUCUACUUCUAGGAGAGGUUCCGACGGAUCUCAGAUGCAAACUCGACACUUCCGAACCCCAAGCUAUAACAAUCGUUAUCAAGAAGAGGACAUUGAUAACAGAAACGGCUAUCAUAGGUGACGUAUGAAGAAACCAUCUCUAGCACGUAUGUACCUACAUAGGAAUCCUGCAUUUAAGGUUGCGAUGCACAUUUACGGAUAGUAGUUACUGUAAUAUUGUAAGGGAGGUAAAGUUAAACAAUCGAACAUAGGAAAAUAUUUGAAGACAGAAAAAUUGCAAGCCUCUUAAACAUUUUGGAUAAGCGCUUUCUCGGUAGAUAUUUAUCAAAAGCAUGCACCCACGAGCUUUUCCGGACGCUUUUCUUAUCUUGCCAUGUUAAUUACAUAAUUUAAACAACAAAAGCUUCUUGCUUUAGCUAAUUGUUUACAGGAUCUAUGCACUAGAACGAUUCGUUUUUCGUGGUUUUCGAUGUAUUAGUUUAAAAGUGUGCGGGCGACAUUUUUCGCGCGGUAGUGUAGUGAUUUUUGAACGAGUAAGGGACAAUGAAAAUUAAAUCGUUGGCAACGUUUAAUGAAAAGUACCCAUAAUGUAGGCGUCAUUACUCUCUAGUGGAUUGGUUUGGCUGUUACAAAUAUGCUUAAAAGGUUACGGAUCGCAACAUCCUGAUUGGUAGUCAUCACUAGUCUACGACAAUAUUGUGCUUCUAUUCG
Molecule: unclassified non-coding RNA, 2448 nt
Filed under: Agrilus planipennis (emerald ash borer)
Lineage: Eukaryota; Metazoa; Arthropoda; Insecta; Coleoptera; Buprestidae
Description: octopamine receptor Oamb, transcript variant X2
Source: RNAcentral